GAGUUUGAUCCUGGCUCAGGACGAACGCUGGCGGCGUGCUUAACACAUGCAAGUCGAACGGUAAGGCCCCAGCUUGCUGGGGUACACGAGUGGCGAACGGGUGAGUAACACGUGGGUGGCCUGCCCCGCACUUCGGGAUAAGCCUGGGAAACUGGGUCUAAUACCGGAUAGGACCGCACCGUGAGGGUGUGGUGGAAAGUUUUUCGGUGUGGGAUGGGCCCGCGGCCUAUCAGCUUGUUGGUGGGGUAAUGGCCUACCAAGGCGGCGACGGGUAGCCGGCCUGAGAGGGUGGACGGCCACAUUGGGACUGAGACACGGCCCAGACUCCUACGGGAGGCAGCAGUGGGGAAUAUUGCACAAUGGGCGGAAGCCUGAUGCAGCGACGCCGCGUGGGGGAUGACGGCCUUCGGGUUGUAAACUCCUUUCACCAUCGACGAAGGUUUUCUGACGGUAGAUGGAGAAGAAGCACCGGCUAACUACGUGCCAGCAGCCGCGGUAAUACGUACGGUGCGAGCGUUGUCCGGAAUUACUGGGCGUAAAGAGCUCGUAGGUGGUUUGUCGCGUCGUCUGUGAAAUUCCGGGGCUUACUCCGGGCGUGCAGGCGAUACGGGCAUAAUUGAGUACUGUCAGGGAGACUGGAAUUCCUGGUGUAGCGGUGAAAUGCGCAGAUAUCAGGAGAAACACCGGUGGCGAAGGCGGGUCUCUGGGCAGUAACUGACGCUGAGGAGCGAAAGCAUGGGUAGCGAACAGGAUUAGAUACCCUGGUAGUCCAUGCCGUAAACGGUGGGCGCUAGGUGUAGGGGUCUUCCACGACUUCUGUGCCGUAGCUAACGCAUUAAGCGCCCCGCCUGGGGAGUACGGCCGCAAGGCUAAAACUCAAAGGAAUUGACGGGGGCCCGCACAAGCGGCGGAGCAUGUGGAUUAAUUCGAUGCAACGCGAAGAACCUUACCUGGGCUUGACAUAUACGGGACCGGGCCAGAGAUGGUCCUUCCCUUGUGGCUCGUAUACAGGUGGUGCAUGGUUGUCGUCAGCUCGUGUCGUGAGAUGUUGGGUUAAGUCCCGCAACGAGCGCAACCCUUGUCUUAUGUUGCCAGCACGUAAUGGUGGGGACUCGUGAGAAACUGCCGGGGUCAACUCGGAGGAAGGUGGGGAUGACGUCAAAUCAUCAUGCCCCUUAUGUCCAGGGCUUCACACAUGCUACAAUGGUCGGUACAGUGGGUUGCGAUGCCGUGAGGUGGAGCUAAUCCCUGAAAGCCGGUCUCAGUUCGGAUCGGGGUCUGCAACUCGACCCCGUGAAGUCGGAGUCGCUAGUAAUCGCAGAUCAGCAACGCUGCGGUGAAUACGUUCCCGGGCCUUGUACACACCGCCCGUC
RNAcentral lists this ribosomal RNA (1373 nucleotides) under uncultured bacterium. RNAcentral describes it as "bacterial SSU rRNA". It matches the Rfam family "Bacterial small subunit ribosomal RNA". The record is from RNAcentral.